Artibeus jamaicensis (Jamaican fruit-eating bat) is the source of this 1330-nucleotide long non-coding RNA. RefSeq lists it as uncharacterized. Lineage: Eukaryota; Metazoa; Chordata; Mammalia; Chiroptera; Phyllostomidae. The record is from RefSeq and is a predicted model, not a curated record. The transcript is spliced from 3 exons.
UCUGGGCCCUCAAUGGACUGCGUGAUGCUCGUCUGCAGUGAGGACAAUUCCCGUUACUCAGUCUACUGAUUCAAAUGCCAACCUCUUCUGGAAACACCCUCACAGACACAUCCAGAUCAUCUAUAACCAGAUCUCUGGGCAUCUUGAGGUCUAGUCAAAAUGACACAUAAAACUAUCACAAAUAUCAAGGGUGGAAGUAAAAGGCUAAAAAUCACGGAAAGACCUCAGAGAGUGAGAUGGGAACAGUAUAUUUUCAAUUACGUAUGUAUGUAUGUAUGUAUGUAUGUAUUAGGGUGGGGGGACAGAGGAAGAGAAACAUCAACAUGAAAGAAAUAUCAAUCAGUUGCCUGUCAUACUUGACCCAACCAGGGACCAAACCCUCAACCGAGGCAUGUACACUGACCGGGAAUCAAACCACUGAACUUUUGCUUUGCAGAAUGAUGUCCAACCAACUGAGCCACAGUGACUGCGGCAGGAACAGUACAUUUUCAAUAUAGACCUUUCCACGGUUUUAGUCCCCACUGCCUGAGCUGCUGGGAACACUUGUUAGCACAAAUCUACGAUCCCACUGGGAAGCCUGAAAGACUUUGUCUCAAGGCACAAAUACUAAAGCUCACAAGGGCUUUUGUAACAUCAUGAAGUGCGUUCUGGCCAUGCGAAACUGCUGCUGCUGCUCAAACCCAGAGCCGGUGCUGUUCUCGAAGACAGCUAAAGACUCGCAUUCUUCUGCAAGCAUCAUUUUGACCACGGAAGCAUUCCUGUCUAUGACAGACAGAGCACAUUGCCGCCGAAGCUCUUGCUCCCCUUCACAGUGUAGAGUUGUUCUUGGGAAGUGGCUGCCCAGCCAGGGACUAUACAGUCAAAGAACUUGUCACAAAUGCAGAGGGUCUUCAGUGAAUGACCUCCCAGUCCCAGAAAUCAUCCCUCUUGCAAAACGAGGCCCAUCGAGGAAUGUGAAGGUAUUCACUCCGUAAGCUGCCACCGAACCUGAGAUGGAGGGUCAGCCCACCAGAAAAGAAAGAGCUUCAGCAGUUUGGGUUUGCAGAGCCUCUGUGGUAAGGCUGCCAACUCAGCAGACACUUUUGCUUUCCUCCUUAAUGUGCACCCUGAAAUCCUCACAUACCACCGUGUGACUCUGAUCUUGUCCGAGGUGCAUGCGUUCAGUUCCUUCAGGCCACAGGUGACAGGGUCUGUGACCCUCUGAGUGGCCUAAAGGUGCUGACUCCAGUACAAUUUCACACAUGGUCAGAAAAUACAUCUCCCAAACAGGCUUCGUUCUCUUCACCAGCCCUUCCUCCAAAGAAUCCCUGGGCAGAAUCUCAACCCAGCU